This 73-nucleotide transfer RNA is filed under the name Felis catus (domestic cat). It matches the Rfam family "tRNA". From Rfam's summary of the family: Transfer RNA (tRNA) molecules are approximately 80 nucleotides in length. Lineage: Eukaryota; Metazoa; Chordata; Mammalia; Carnivora; Felidae. RNAcentral also lists the same sequence under 6 other names. The record is from Rfam by way of RNAcentral.
ACCUGGCUGGCUCAGUCGGUAGAGCAUGUAACUCUUGACCUCAGGGUUGUGAGUUCAAGCCCCAUGUUGGGUG